UUACCAGAGUACUAUGAAUAAUAUAAAAUUUAAAACUCAAAGAACUUGGCGGUGUUUUAGACCAUUUAGGGGAACCUGUCUCGUAAUCGACAAUCCGCGCUGUACCUGACCUUUUCUUGUUUUCAGUUUGUAUACCGUUGUCGUCAGGUAACUUUUUAGAGAGUAGAAGUUGGCUGUAGAAAUGUGGUAAUUUAGUACGUCAAAUCAAGGUGCAGCCAAUGAAAAGGAGAGGAUGGGUUACAAUUAUGUAGUUAUAAUAACGAAUAUCUAUAUGAAAGUAUAGGUUGUGAAGGAGGACUUAAAAGUAAACUGGAUUAUAAAAAUAGUUUGAAUAAGGCUCUGAAACGUGU
This 350-nucleotide ribosomal RNA is filed under the name Oxymeris cerithina. RNAcentral describes it as "partial 12S ribosomal RNA". It matches the Rfam family "Bacterial small subunit ribosomal RNA", at positions 869 to 1384 of the family's 1533-position model. The record is from RNAcentral. Lineage: Eukaryota; Metazoa; Mollusca; Gastropoda; Neogastropoda; Terebridae.